UUCUCGAAUUUAGAAGAGCUACUUUUUUUAUUGUAAUAAAUAUUAGUAAUUUGCAAUGAAAUGUUAAUAUAUCUAGUUUUCUAAGAAAAUUUAAUUUUUUUAUUUAUUUAGGGAUGAGCUUGAAUUAGGAUUAGAAGUUUUGUUAUAUUUAAUAUAUUAGAAUAAAAUAUAAAAUUUUUUUUGUAAUAAUGAUUAAAUUAGUAUAUGGUUAAGAAAAGGAAUUCGGCAAAUAUUUUUCACCUGUUUAUUAAAAACAUGGCCUUUUGAAUAUAAUUUGAGGUCUAACCUGCUCUAUGAGGCCGCGGUAUCCUGACCGUGCAAAGGUAGCAUAAUAAUUAGUUUUUUAAUUGGAAGCUGGAAUGAAUGGUUGAAUGAGAAAAUGACUGUCUCUUUUUAAUAGAAUUUUAUUUUUUAGUAAGAAAGCUAAAAUAAUAUUAAAAGACGAGAAGACCCUAUAGAGUUUGAUUUUUGUUGGGGCGAUGGAAAAAUUGAUUAAACUUUUGAUUAUAAGAAGUAAUUACCUUAGGGAUAACAGCGUAAUUUUUCUUAGAGUUCAAAUUGAAAGAAAAGAUUGCGACCUCGA
Molecule: ribosomal RNA, 583 nt
Filed under: Plagionotus christophi
Lineage: Eukaryota; Metazoa; Arthropoda; Insecta; Coleoptera; Cerambycidae
Also listed under: 1 other name
Description: partial large subunit ribosomal RNA
Source: RNAcentral